CAAUUGCCUUCCUAUAAAUUAUAGUUGUGAGACGUUGAGAAUAUAUAGCUGUAUUUUGAGAGCAUGACAUGAAAAUCAGAGUAUGCAAUCCUUACCAUUUUCUCUACAGAGAAUCUGGUUGGGUGGGUCAGUCUGGAGCCAAAUAACUAUUACAAUGUUUAGUGUGAGACAGUUUGGUCUUUUUUUUUUUCCUGGCUAGACUUACAAAUUUUCUGUUAGAUUUUGGGCAGAGUUGCAGAACCAGAGAAAUGGAGCAUAGUCCAAACGAGGUAGGACAUUUAUGAAAUAAUGAUGAAACCUUGUUAGUAUUAAUUAAGCCUUUGUUUACACUUCAUUUUAGCUCUGUUUUUAAAAUGUCACAUGAGUUAGUCUCUUAAGUGAUCACAGUUAAGUUCUCCGAGAGUAAUUCUAAUGGAAUUAAAAUGAAAGGCCUUUUAUGAGACUUUGAUCCCCAUCCUGUGUUGAUUUUUCUGACAAACACAAAAACAAAUAGGGAAGAAAACCAUGGACCCUUCAAGAGUUUUGCACUUGCACACUUUGGGUUGUGGGUCUGAAACCUUCAGGA
This 565-nucleotide long non-coding RNA is filed under the name Bos taurus (domestic cattle). Its description in RNAcentral is "long non-coding RNA NONBTAT015440". The record is from RNAcentral. Lineage: Eukaryota; Metazoa; Chordata; Mammalia; Artiodactyla; Bovidae.